AGCAGCCGCGGUAAUUCCAGCUCCAAUAGCGUAUAUUAAAGUUGUUGCAGUUAAAAAGCUCGUAGUUGAAUUUCGGGGUUAGUAGGUUGGUCAUGCCUCUGGUAUGUACUGGUCUCACUGAUUCCUCCUUCCUUAUGAACCGUAAUGCUAUUAAUUUGGUGUUGCGGGGAAUUUGGACUGUUACUUUGAAAAAAUUAGAGUGUUUAAAGCAAGCUAACGCUUGAAUACAUUAGCAUGGAGUAAUGAAAUAGGACGUUCGAUCUUAUUUUGUUGGUUUCUAGGAUUGACGUAAUGAUUAAUAGGGAUAGUUGGGGGCAUUAGUAUUCAAUUGUCAGAGGUGAAAUUCUUGGAUUUAUUGAAGACUAACUACUGCGAAAGCAUUUGCCAAGGAUGUUUUCAUUAAUCAAGAACGAAAGUUAGGGGAUCGAAGACGAUCAGAUACCGUCGUAGUCUUAACCAUAAACUAUGCCGACUAGGGAUCGGAUGAUGUUAAUUUUUUAAUGACUCA
RNAcentral lists this ribosomal RNA (508 nucleotides) under uncultured Glomus. Its description in RNAcentral is "SSU rRNA". It matches the Rfam family "Eukaryotic small subunit ribosomal RNA", at positions 569 to 1078 of the family's 1831-position model. The record is from RNAcentral. Lineage: Eukaryota; Fungi; Glomeromycota; Glomeromycetes; Glomerales; Glomeraceae.